AUCUGAUGUUGUUUCAGGAAAGUUGGUGACAGAGACUCUUUGUCUUCAGCAGGACUCCUCAAAGAGGACACAGAGCAGAAACACUGACACCAAUCAACCAGUCUGAUGUUUUAGAGACAUUAUGGAGACGGCAACAUCUGAUGAUGAUUUAAAGUCUCAGAGGAGAAGCAACCCUUUCUGUAAGUUGAACUGAUGAGAAUUCUUCAACA
This is a long non-coding RNA of Scomber scombrus (Atlantic mackerel), 209 nucleotides long. RefSeq lists it as uncharacterized. NCBI's taxonomy places the organism in Eukaryota, Metazoa, Chordata, Actinopteri, Scombriformes, Scombridae. The record is from RefSeq and is a predicted model, not a curated record. The transcript is spliced from 3 exons.